Molecule: RNase P RNA, 212 nt
Filed under: Escherichia coli
Lineage: Bacteria; Pseudomonadati; Pseudomonadota; Gammaproteobacteria; Enterobacterales; Enterobacteriaceae
Also listed under: 1 other name
Description: partial RNase P RNA component class A
Rfam family: Bacterial RNase P class A
About the family: Ribonuclease P (RNase P) is a ubiquitous endoribonuclease, found in archaea, bacteria and eukarya as well as chloroplasts and mitochondria.
Source: RNAcentral
GAAGCUGACCAGACAGUCGCCGCUUCGUCGUCGUCCUCUUCGGGGGAGACGGGCGGAGGGGAGGAAAGUCCGGGCUCCAUAGGGCAGGGUGCCAGGUAACGCCUGGGGGGGAAACCCACGACCAGUGCAACAGAGAGCAAACCGCCGAUGGCCCGCGCAAGCGGGAUCAGGUAAGGGUGAAAGGGUGCGGUAAGAGCGCACCGCGCGGCUGG